GUGGGGAAUUUUGGACAAUGGGCGAAAGCCUGAUCCAGCCAUGCCGCGUGCAGGAUGAAGGCCUUCGGGUUGUAAACUGCUUUUGUACGGAACGAAAAGACUCCUUCUAAUAAAGGGGGUCCAUGACGGUACCGUAAGAAUAAGCACCGGCUAACUACGUGCCAGCAGCCGCGGUAAUACGUAGGGUGCAAGCGUUAAUCGGAAUUACUGGGCGUAAAGCGUGCGCAGGCGGUUAUAUAAGACAGAUGUGAAAUCCCCGGGCUCAACCUGGGAACUGCAUUUGUGACUGUAUAGCUAGAGUACGGUAGAGGGGGAUGGAAUUCCGCGUGUAGCAGUGAAAUGCGUAGAUAUGCGGAGGAACACCGAUGGCGAAGGCAAUCCCCUGGACCUGUACUGACGCUCAUGCGCGAAAGCGUGGGGAGCAAACAGGAUUAGAAACCCGGGUAGUCC
RNAcentral lists this ribosomal RNA (450 nucleotides) under uncultured bacterium. Its description in RNAcentral is "partial 16S ribosomal RNA". It matches the Rfam family "Bacterial small subunit ribosomal RNA", at positions 354 to 796 of the family's 1533-position model. The record is from RNAcentral.